Non-coding RNA from Ixodes scapularis (black-legged tick), 99 nucleotides. Lineage: Eukaryota; Metazoa; Arthropoda; Arachnida; Ixodida; Ixodidae. The record is from Rfam.
ACGACAUGGCGAUCGGAGACUACCCGGCCGAAUAUAAUCCCAAAGUUCACGGGCCCUACGACCCGGCGCGCUACUACGGCAAGCGUAAGCUCGUCCGCA